UUUAAAACGUGGCAUAUUCUGGCACUUAGUAAUCUAAAAUUGAACAAAAUUUGUGAUAAUCCCAUUCUCCGAUGGAAUUAAUUAACCAGAUUCGGUGGCAAAAACUAAAACAAUAAUGGUAGGCAAUAAAAGGCACUCAUCAAGAUUAAAGGCUGGAAUAUUAAAACAGAACGCAGAAAACCACAGCUGCAUUAUUCAACUUAAUGUUGUAUUUCGUACGGUUAUAUUGUUAUUCAUUAUUUACGAUGUAAACCGGAUACAGCCCAUAAUGUGCUCAGCUUUUCCAGUAUUUAGAACAUAAAGUUCCUAAUUUAUGUCCAAUUUCUAAUUACCACAACUUACAAAAAAACCCAGGUGUUCCGGAAUGUUGAACAAUCAAAAAGAAAAAUGGCCCCAUUCGCAUCAUACAUUCGUGAAAUAAGUGAGCAGUCUCUCCAUUUCAUUAAAAUAAAAACAAUGCAAACGUAUUUACAGAAAACGGGCCAACAAAAGAGCGUCAGUCUGUUCCCUGUUUUCAACUCCGAAAAACAAUAAACUGAUGAAAUCUC
Long non-coding RNA from Dendroctonus ponderosae (mountain pine beetle), 548 nucleotides. RefSeq lists it as uncharacterized. NCBI's taxonomy places the organism in Eukaryota, Metazoa, Arthropoda, Insecta, Coleoptera, Curculionidae. The transcript is spliced from 2 exons. The record is from RefSeq and is a predicted model, not a curated record.